This 510-nucleotide ribosomal RNA is filed under the name uncultured bacterium. RNAcentral describes it as "partial 16S ribosomal RNA". It matches the Rfam family "Bacterial small subunit ribosomal RNA", at positions 28 to 507 of the family's 1533-position model. The record is from RNAcentral.
GACGAACGCUGGCGGCGUGCUUAACACAUGCAAGUCGAACGAAGAGCGACGGAAGCUUGCUUCUAUCAAUCUUAGUGGCGAACGGGUGAGUAACGCGUAAUCAACCUGCCCUUCAGAGGGGGACAACAGUUGGAAACGACUGCUAAUACCGCAUACGAUCUAACCUCGGCAUCGAGGAUAGAUGAAAGGUGGCCUCUACAUGUAAGCUAUCACUGAAGGAGGGGAUUGCGUCUGAUUAGCUAGUUGGAGGGGUAACGGCCCACCAAGGCGAUGAUCAGUAGCCGGACUGAGAGGAUGAACGGCCACAUUGGGACUGAGACACGGCCCAGACUCCUACGGGAGGCAGCAGUGGGGAAUCUUCCGCAAUGGACGAAAGGCUGACGGAGCAACGCCGCGUGAGUGAUGACGGCCUUCGGGUUGUAAAGCUCUGUUAAUCGGGACGAAAGGCCUUCUUGCGAAUAGUGAGAAGGAUUGACGGUACCGGAAGAGAAAGCCACGGCUAACUACGUG